CCUACGGGUGGCAGCAGUAGGGAAUCUUCCACAAUGGGCGCAAGCCUGAUGGAGCAACACCGCGUGAGGGAAGAAGGGUUUCGGCUCGUUAAGCUCUUUUGUUGGGGAAGAACGUGCGUGAGAGUAACUGUUCACGCAGUGACGGUAUCCAACCAGAAAGUCACGGCUAACUCCGUGCCAGCAGCCGCGGUGAUACGGCGGUGGCAAGCGUUAUCCGGAUGGAUUGGGCGUAAAGCGAGCGCAGGCGGUUGCUUAGGGGUGAUGUGAAAGCCUUCGGCUUAACCGCAGAAGUGCAUCGGAAACCGGGCGACUUGAGUGCAGAAGAGGACAGUGGAAUUCGUGGUGUAGCGGUGAAAUGCGUAGAUAUCAGGAAGAACACCAGUGGCGAAGGCGGCUGUCUGGUCUGCAACUGACGCUGAGGCUCGAAAGCAUGGGUAGCGAACAGGAUUAGAUACCCGAGUAGUC
This 465-nucleotide ribosomal RNA is filed under the name uncultured bacterium. RNAcentral describes it as "partial 16S ribosomal RNA". It matches the Rfam family "Bacterial small subunit ribosomal RNA", at positions 338 to 795 of the family's 1533-position model. The record is from RNAcentral.